This 376-nucleotide ribosomal RNA is filed under the name uncultured bacterium. Its description in RNAcentral is "bacterial SSU rRNA". It matches the Rfam family "Bacterial small subunit ribosomal RNA", at positions 523 to 898 of the family's 1533-position model. The record is from RNAcentral.
AUACGAAGGGGGCGAGCGUUGCUCGGAAUGACUGGGCGUAAAGGGCGCGUAGGCGGUAUGGUUAGUUAGGCGUGAAAUUCCUGGGCUCAACCUGGGGACUGCGCUUAAUACAGCCAGGCUAGAGUGUGGAAGAGGGUCGUGGAAUUCCCAGUGUAGAGGUGAAAUUCGUAGAUAUUGGGAAGAACACCGGUGGCGAAGGCGGCGACCUGGUCCAUUACUGACGCUGAGGCGCGAAAGCGUGGGGAGCAAACAGGAUUAGAUACCCUGGUAGUCCACGCCGUAAACGAUGUGUGCUGGAUGUUGGGUGACCUAGUCACUCAGUGUCGUAGCUAACGCGAUAAGCACACCGCCUGGGGAGUACGGCCACAAGGUUGAA